RNAcentral lists this non-coding RNA (97 nucleotides) under Dechloromonas aromatica (nom. nud.). Its description in RNAcentral is "Dechloromonas aromatica TPP sequence". It matches the Rfam family "TPP riboswitch aptamer (THI element)". From Rfam's summary of the family: Vitamin B(1) in its active form thiamin pyrophosphate (TPP) is an essential coenzyme that is synthesised by coupling of pyrimidine and thiazole moieties in bacteria. The previously detected thiamin-regulatory element, thi box was extended, resulting in a new, highly conserved RNA secondary structure, the THI element, which is widely distributed in eubacteria and also occurs in some archaea. Analysis of operon structures identified a large number of new candidate thiamin-regulated genes, mostly transporters, in various prokaryotic organisms. Lineage: Bacteria; Pseudomonadati; Pseudomonadota; Betaproteobacteria; Rhodocyclales; Azonexaceae. The record is from RNAcentral.
CCCACUCGUUAGGGGUGCCAACCGCAAAACUUGGCUGAGAAUUACCCUUCGAACCUGACCGGGUCAUGCCGUCGUAGGGAAACGAACUCUGUCGUUG